GUUGUGAAUGUUAAUCUCUAAAAGAUCUUAGGGUGAAAAAAAAACUUCAGUUUAGUCAGAAUUAACUUUUGGUGGCAUAGCAUAUGUUUAAUUCUGCAUUUAAUACUAUAUUGUGUUAUUUUGUGGCAUGAUACUGAUUCGAAUUCACAAUAUUCAGUGAUAUGUGUUUAACUUGUAAUUCUGGUGAUCAGCAAGUAUCAAAACUUUUUUUCUAAUUUAGUGAGGCAUCUUUUGUUGUAUGUUUUCUCGAAUUGUUAGUGUGCAAAAAUACAGAGCUAAUGUUAUAUAAUUUAUAAUUUUGUUUUACAGUUUAUAAGAUUUAAAUUACUGAUAAUAUAUGAUGUUUUUUAUUAUUAUUUUACUGAUGUUUUUUGGGCUGUGAAUGUUUUUAGUGCUUUCAGUGCUAAUGAUAUUUUUUCAAUACACAAUAAUAAUAAUUGUUUGAUUUUUCAAAUCUAAGUCGUCUAAUGAUGGUUUGGUUAUUAAUUGAAAAUAUUUUGAUCUAAAAUAUAACCCUUUAAAUAAAAAAAAAUAAAAAAUUUAAUAAAUUAAUUAUUAUAUAGAUAUUAAAGUUAGAUAAA
This 581-nucleotide long non-coding RNA is filed under the name Brassica napus (rape). RNAcentral describes it as "long non-coding RNA (BNAP_LNC015702)". Lineage: Eukaryota; Viridiplantae; Streptophyta; Magnoliopsida; Brassicales; Brassicaceae. The record is from RNAcentral.